CAGUGUGACAUCAGAAGGAUACCCGGAGUACAGCUGAAUUUGAAGUCAGCCAUCUGCCAGGAGCAAUACUCAUUGACCCUCAGAGUGAUACACUGCAAGAAUUUCUGCAGAAACAGCUCCUUCCAGGUAUAGAAAAGAUCUCCGUAGGACUCGUUCUUUGUUGUUGCAAAUUGCUUUCAAGCUGCUUUAAGGUGAGAAUUUUCAAAAGCGCGCAGUGAGCACACUUGGGGCCAGAGUUUCAGAAGUGCUCAGUCC
Molecule: long non-coding RNA, 255 nt
Filed under: Gopherus agassizii (Agassiz's desert tortoise)
Lineage: Eukaryota; Metazoa; Chordata; Testudines; Testudinidae
Description: lncRNA (ENSGAGG00000018300.1)
Source: RNAcentral